Molecule: ribosomal RNA, 346 nt
Filed under: uncultured fungus
Lineage: Eukaryota; Fungi
Description: eukaryotic LSU rRNA
Source: RNAcentral
AGAGUUAAAAGUACGUGAAAUUGCUAAGAGGGAAACGUUUGAGAUCAGUGUUGCUUGUCAGAAAUCAACUCAUCAGCAAUGGUGGGUGCACUUUUUGGCCAGCAGGUCAACAUUGGUUUUUGGCAGAGGACAUUAUUUUGGGAAGGUAGUCAUAUCUUCGGAACUGGUGUUAUAGCCUGAAAGAAUACUUUGUCGAAGACCAAGGCACGCGAUGUAAGCUUAGCGGACGAACGCGUCUCUGUGUGCAUUACGCUUGCUGGAUGCUUGCAAACUGUAAGUACAUCGUAUACACUGGCGUGCUAGUACCAUUACAUCAAGGAUGUUGACGAAAUGGUUUUAAACGACC